Molecule: long non-coding RNA, 929 nt
Filed under: Equus caballus (horse)
Lineage: Eukaryota; Metazoa; Chordata; Mammalia; Perissodactyla; Equidae
Description: lncRNA (ENSECAG00000046642.1)
Source: RNAcentral
GGUGAGUCUUGAAGAACAAGUUUUUUCCAGGUGUGGAAGAAUGAGGGUGUUCCAGGCUCAGGAAAGGGCCUGAGCAAAGGCAGGAAGGCACUCGGUGUUUCGAGAAAUGUAGCCAUGGCAGAAAAACUCAGAAAAGAAUUUAUAUGUCCCAUCUGCCAGAACUAUUUUGAAGCUCUCUGUUUGACAUUCUGGAAACACAACUUGUGCUUCACCUGCCUCAGGCAUUUGGAGGGGGAAAAUCAAGAUGGCCUUUGCACUUCUCCCCAGUUUUGACAGCUUAUGGAUGCAGAGGAUUGAGACCAACAUGGUCCUGGAAAAACUGGCUGAGAUCAAAGUGAUGAUGCCCAUGCUGAGCAUGUGCCGCUGGAUGCUGAGAUUCUAUGUGAAUGUAACUCUGGAUCUAGCCAUGGCCAAUGACUUCCUCAUAUUCUCUAAUGAUCUGCAGAGCAUGUGAUGUGAAUACAUCCAGAUGAGACCACCAGACAAUGCUGAGACAUUCGUCUCUGCUGCUUGUGUCCUCCCAUCUCACAUCUGCCCGCCACCACUUAGGGGUGGAAGUGAGAGAAGCAAUGAAAUGAACAGUGGGUGUUUGCAGUGUAUCUUCAUAUCUUCAAGGUCCUUUCCUGUUGUUUUCAGACCCGGAGGUCUGAAUGGUGGGCCCCAGGGGAGGACAAGAACUUAUUGCCAGUACAGACACUAGGGCUGUUCUUCACUUGAACCCAGACUUGCAGAAGGGGCCACCUCCUUGAAUUGCUGCCUCAAGAUGAAACCAAGAGCUUGUGUCUGAGGAGUAGCUGGGUUAGAUAUUCAUAGGCUCAACCCCUGACGACUUGAGAAGGAAGCUUUCAUGUGUGGGGGCCACUUUGGGAGCAGAAUCUUAGGGCUGGAGACAUUCAGAGGGACACAGUGUCCAAGGACUAAAUCAAGAG